AACCCAUGGUGAGGGCACCUUCUCAAUAAGUCCUUAUACCUCUCCCAUGCAUUAUAUAAAGUCUCUAAAUCCAUUUGCACGAAGGAGGAGAUAUUGUUCCUCUGUCU
Molecule: small nucleolar RNA, 107 nt
Filed under: Gossypium arboreum
Lineage: Eukaryota; Viridiplantae; Streptophyta; Magnoliopsida; Malvales; Malvaceae
Description: Plant small nucleolar RNA R71
Rfam family: Plant small nucleolar RNA R71
About the family: R71 is a member of the C/D box family of snoRNAs containing the C (UGAUGA) and D (CUGA) box motifs. Multiple nearly identical copies of this snoRNA have been identified in Arabidopsis, and it is thought to function as a 2'-O-ribose methylation guide for 18S ribosomal RNA.
Source: Rfam by way of RNAcentral